CAAAACAUAUUUGAAUAUCUAUUAUUGAGAUGGUUUUCUUCAGUACUAUCCUUUCAAAUAUUAACUGUCACGUUUUACAUCAAAAGAUAACAUCUUACUGUUACACUCUAAAAUGGGAGCUCACUUUAAAUAAGGAAACUUUUAGUGAAGGAUACUACAAAUGGAUUCAAAGUGAUGAAUGGUAUGUGUCACAUGCCUAUGGACAUUGCCAAUUUUUGGAGACAAACAGAAAAUGGUUGUAAUAUAAACCAUUUGUUUCAUUGAAUUUUAAAAAUGCUUCACGCAAAUUGGUAAAAUGAUACUCAAAAGCUGUAAAUACAAACACCAUUUGUUCCAUUGGAUUUAAAAAAUGCUUCAAGCAAAUUGGAAAAAUGAUACUAAAAAGACUAGGGUAAGCCAAAAACUAUGACAGGAAGCCAAAAACAAGGAUUCAUAAGAGGUAAGAACUAGUAUAAAGCCAAUGAAAACAUACACUAAGAAAAAAUUUAACUAUUGAAUCCUCCAAAUUAAGUAUUCAUUGUAGAAAAGGUCAACCUUGUUAUGGUUUCCUCCAUUGAUCCCGAUGCAUGCAUCCGUAUAAAUACAUAAGCCGUCUGCAUAAUAAUGCCAGAUGCUGUAAAAAAUAGUUUAUACUCCAAAGAGUUUGUUUCUGUUGCAUUUGCAAAUGUACUUUGGUUCAGUAAUUGGUUUCUUCCUUAGAGGCUUCCUAUGAAACCCCUCCCUAUAUAACACAACAAAAACACUCACUCCAUUUUGCAUCAGCAAAAUCACUUCAUAUUACAGUUACAAAGGGACUAGAGUCAUCAAUAGAUAUUAAUCAUGCUUUACAGUAUGAGUGAAAACUCAUAAAUUUUCAUUUAAGGCAACAACUAGCUUUCACAUUUAAAUCCAUCAUUUUGGGUCAUCAACCCGAAUUUGGGACCAUUGCACUCAUCUAUACCACCCUUUUUGAAAUAAUGAAAAGAAAAUAAUUUCACUUAUCAAUUCACAAAGCACACUUGCAUUUGCUACAUGAACAAAGAGUUCAUAAUGCAUUUUCACUCUACAGUCAUUGAGGCAUCCAUCACUUUAAAAGAAAUUCUGUAACAAAGCAUAUCCAUCAAUUCCAGCAUUUUGGGUUAGGUGGUACUAGAGUCAUGUAUUCACCGUAUUUCUUGUCUCAAGCAGAAGAUUGAAUGUUUGCUCAAUUAAAGUUUGUUUUCUCAUGCAGAAGAUUGAAUGAAUGUUCUUGAAAAAUCAAGAAUGAGAAAAUUGGUUUUCCAAGCAUUUUUUUUUUCUCAAGCAGAAGAUUCAAUGUUCUUGACUAAUCAAGAAUGAGAAAUGAGUAUUCCAGCAUGCCACAUAAGUUAAAAUUACCACAACAACCAAAAAAUUUGCCGUUCAAAAUUUUUUGGAAUUAAAAUUCCAAAAUAGUUGAAAUUCCAUUGUGUAGCAAAUAAAAAAACUCCCAGAAUCUUGGUACAAAACAGAGUUUUAGGACAAAGCAUUUUGCCCAAUUAAGGUUCCUUUUUAUAUUCAAUUUCUUGAAUAAUCCAAAAUUAGAAAAUAGUAUCUCAAUCAUAAACGAGACAGGGCAAAUUUUGUGGAGUGAAAAUUACAAAAUAUUAUAUAACACCAUCAUCUUAACAAAAGGUAAAAAGUUUCUGACAGAGCAUGUAUGCACGAUUUUAAUGUUCUUUGUUUUUUUCAAGCAGAAGAUUGAACAUUCUUGAAUGACCAAGAAUGAGAAAAAUUGUUUCCCAAAAAAAAUUGCUUUCUUCCAAAAUUUUGAUACCAAAUAGGAUAUUGGGAUUCAGCAUGUUUGCACGAUUUUAAUGUUCUUUUUUUUUGUUCAAGCAGAAGAUUGAAUAUUCUUGAAUGAUCAAGAAUGAGAAAAAUUGUUUCCAAAAAAAAUUGCUUUCUUCCAAAAUUUUGAUACCAAAUAGGAUAUUGGGACAGAGCAUGUUUACAUGAUUUUAAUGUUCUUUUUUGUUUUCAAGCAGAAGAUUGAAUAUUCUUGAAUGACCAAGAAUGAGAAAAAUUGUUUCCAAAAAAACAUUGAUUUCUUCCAAAAUUUUGAUACCAAAUAGUAUUGGGACAAAGCAUGUUUGCACAUAUUCUUUUUUAUUUUUUUUAAGGCAGAAGAUUGAAUAUUCUUGAAUGACCAUGAGAAAAAUUGUUUCCAAAAAAAAUUGCUUUCUUCCAAAAUUUUGAUACCAAAUAUUUGGUAUAUUGGGACACAGCAUGUUUGCACGUUUUAAUUUUAUUUUUUUUCAAGCAGAAGAUUGAAUAUUUUUGAAUAUUGUUUCCAAAAAAAUUUGUUUUUUCCAAAAUUUUGAUACCAAAUAGAAUAUUGGGACACAGCGUGUUUGCACGAUUUUGAUGUUCUUAUUUUCUCAAGCAGAAGAUUGAAUAAUCUUGAAUGACCAAGAAUGAGAAAAAUUGUUUCCAAAAAAAAUUGCAUUUCAAAUUAUUUGUACCAACAGGGUCUUGGGACAUAGCAUGUUUGCCCCCGUAAAGAUUCUUUUUGGUUUUAAUGCAAAAUUUAAUUUUCAAGAAUAAGAAAAUUGGUAUUCCAACAUGUAUCAAUGCAAAUAUGUUGCAACAGAAAAGAAUAUUCGAACAGAAACAUCCUUUUAGGGUUAGGUUUGGGUCACGUAUUCCACCCCUUUUAUGAUAAAAGAUUCAACCUUGCAGCAAUUCACAAUCUUUUAGGGUUUGUAUACCCAAUUAAACUUAGAUUUACAGAAUCGAAAGGGUCUUUUGGUUUUGAAGCCGAAAAUUUAAUAUUCUUGAAUAAUAAUCAAGAACAAAAAAUGGGUAGUUUUAUUUUUCUAAAGCAGAAGAUUGAAUAUUCUUGAAUAAACAAGAAUGAGAAAAAUGGAUUUUCCAGCAUAUAUCAAUGCAAAUAUAUCGAAAUUAAAAUUCCGAAAUUACCGUAGCAAGCAAGAAAUGUUGUCUUGGAACAGAUCACACAACGCGGGACAACAACAUUCACACAGAUUCAAUCAGCAAUUUGAUGUUGCAUAUUUAAUUGUUUUCUUGAAGAAAACGAACACGACAUAGUAGCACUGUUAAGCUAUAAGCGUAACUCAUAAUGAGAGCAACGGUAUUCAUAUAUGCCGUUUAUAUAAACCUAUUCUCAUGGGCUUUUAUUUUUGUUGAACCAUGG
Molecule: long non-coding RNA, 3151 nt
Filed under: Cicer arietinum (chickpea)
Lineage: Eukaryota; Viridiplantae; Streptophyta; Magnoliopsida; Fabales; Fabaceae
Description: long non-coding RNA (CARI_LNC001538)
Source: RNAcentral